This 498-nucleotide ribosomal RNA is filed under the name uncultured bacterium. RNAcentral describes it as "partial 16S ribosomal RNA". It matches the Rfam family "Bacterial small subunit ribosomal RNA", at positions 30 to 523 of the family's 1533-position model. The record is from RNAcentral.
AUUGAACGCUGGCGGAAUGCUUUACACAUGCAAGUCGAACGGCAGCACGGGGCAACCUGGUGGCGAGUGGCGAACGGGUGAGUAAUACAUCGGAACGUGCCCAGUCGUGGGGGAUAACGUAGCGAAAGUUACGCUAAUACCGCAUACGAUCUAAGGAUGAAAGCGGGGGAUCGCAAGACCUCGCGCGAUUGGAGCGGCCGAUGUCAGAUUAGGUAGUUGGUGUGGUAAAGGCCCACCAAGCCGACGAUCUGUAGCUGGUCUGAGAGGACGACCAGCCACACUGGGACUGCGACACGGCCCAGACUCCUACGGGAGGCAGCAGUGGGGAAUUUUGGACAAUGGGCGCAAGCCUGAUCCAGCCAUUCCGCGUGCAGGAUGAAGGCCUUCGGGUUGUAAACUGCUUUUGUACGGAGCGAAAAGGCUCUCUCUAAUACAGGGGGCUCAUGACGGUACCGUAAGAAUAAGCACCGGCUAACUACGUGCCAGCCGCCGCCGUAA